AAGUCCAGCCCACAGAAUAGAAAGAAUAAACUUUACCAGAUCCAAACUGUAAAACGGCUGCACAACGAGUGGAUAGAGAAUACAUAUCGAUGGGUCACUGGAUUUCUGAAAAUAUUUGAAGAAGGUUUCAUAAGAAGGGGACUGCAAUCAGAGGGGGUAUUCAAGAGAGGUGAAUCAGAAAAUUCCCAGAAACAAACUGGAGAAUGGUGAGUAUGACGACGCAGACGAUCAAUUCUAUGAAGAAUAUUUUGACCAUGACUUGGGCAGGGAUGAGUAUAAAGAUGAACGACACUAUGCAAGGGUAAAGAUGUUGAAGAAGAGGAAGAGAAAACUGUUAAGACGGAUGCAAAAGACAACAAAAUCAUUUCACUCAUGACAUGGAAAGGAAGUGAAAAAAGCAUUGUGCAUGAUAACGAUGAUGCAGUAAGUCGAGAAAAUCACAAGGUCUUGAAGAACAAAAUAGAAGGUCAACCUCUAUUCAUAUGUCACGGUUAGAUCAAGUGGGGAUGAACUAGACGCCAUGGCUGAGUCAUUGCCCAGGGUUAACUAGAAGGGUGGUCGGGUCAGUUACAUGAUCAAGCCAAGGUUCAUGAGCUUCAAGCCAUGUUUGCAGGGGAAGCAACAUAUAUAACCCACUACUCUACAAUUCUUGGUGCUUAGUUUAGUUGUUUCAAGGAAGCCAAUAGGCUUCUCAAGCAUUAAAAAGUGAUCCUUGAGUGUUUGUUUUAAGAUAUGUAUUUUUGGUCAAUGUGUUUAGAGAAGCUUAAUCAGUUUUGUAAGAUUUUUUUUGUUAAGAAAGAAUAAACUUCUAUUAUAUGUCACGAUUUUUUCUGGAGUAGGAAGCAUAUAAGAGAAGUGUAGAACAGUUGGUGAAGCAAUAGAAUGGGUUUAGGUCUACAAGAGGAGGAGAUUCGCAUAUGGGCUGCUCGGGUUGUAAAAUUUCCAGUGGAGGAGGAAUGUGAGGUUUUGGAUACAUGAGCAACACAGAGGAAUUGGUUAUAGCUUGGAGACUUGACAUAUAUAUAUAUAUAUAUACAUAUAUAUAUAUAUAUCUACAUUUAUAGACAUGUGAAUAUUGUGGAGUGACUUUUCUACAUAAAUUUAUUAGAUUCCUAUAAUUUUCACAUUGAGCUUCUGUGCUUUUUGUUUAGUCUUUGUCCCAAUUAGUAAUUUGUUAUCAGUCCUUUUUUUCUUUGCUGUAAAGUGACAAAGACAAUAUGGAACCAAAACAAGAAAGAAAGAGAUUCGUGUCCCU
Brassica oleracea var. oleracea is the source of this 1255-nucleotide long non-coding RNA. RefSeq lists it as uncharacterized. The record is from RefSeq and is a predicted model, not a curated record. NCBI's taxonomy places the organism in Eukaryota, Viridiplantae, Streptophyta, Magnoliopsida, Brassicales, Brassicaceae. The transcript is spliced from 5 exons.